UGGGGAAUAUUGGGCAAUGGACGCAAGUCUGACCCAGCGACGCCGCGUGCGGGAUGAAGGCCUUCGGGUUGUAAACCGCUUUCAGCAGGGAAGAAGCGAAAGUGACGGUACCUGCAAAAGAAGCACCGGCUAACUAUGUGCCAGCAGCCGCGGUAAUACAUAGGUGGCAAGCGUUAUCCGGAAUUAUUGGGCGUAAAGAGUUCGUAGGCCUUUUGUUAGGUCCUUGAUUAAAUAUAUAAGCUUAACUUAUAUUAGGUUGAGGAAACCAGCAGAAUAGAAGGGUAUCGAGGUAGGUGGAAUUUGUGGUGUAGCAGUGAAAUGCGUUGGUAUCACAAGGAACACCAAUGGCGAAGGCAGCCUACUAGAUACCACUUGACGCUGAGGAACGAAAGCGUGGGUAACAAACGGG
RNAcentral lists this ribosomal RNA (409 nucleotides) under uncultured bacterium. RNAcentral describes it as "bacterial SSU rRNA". It matches the Rfam family "Bacterial small subunit ribosomal RNA", at positions 355 to 776 of the family's 1533-position model. The record is from RNAcentral.